UGUAGUUGGACCUUUAAUAGCCUACUACGCAGCUAUAAUUCAUGUUAAAUUAUGCGUUUCUUUUGUUGUUGCUGUAAAAAAAAGACAAAAAAAUAAAAGUUUUGCAACGAUGGUAAAGGUCAUGCGGGGGUCAGAGUUGGGACACGUUGGACGUUGCUAGCAAAGCUGUCAUCAUGGAGGUUGAGAUAACCAGGGGAGCAAAAAAUAAAAAAAAAGUACACCGCAAAACAAGAAGGAAGAAAUGAAAAGAUACAAACGCGAACGUUUUUAUAAGUGACUGGAUUUGUGACGCUUCAGCCGGUACCAUGCAGAAAAACCGAAAACAAAACAUCAGUGCUAACUCAACUGUAGGCUAUAACGCUACAGUAUAUGACUUUUGAAUGAGAGGCUUCGAAAGGUGGAUUUUACCGAUGUGAGAAAGACAUCCUGCUGCUAAGAUUAUCCAGAGUAACACUACUUCUAAUAGGGAACCACAGUGAGUUGCUUAGGUGAAGUGGUUGCAGUUUGUGCCUAACUCCCAACACGUCAUCAAGGAUCUCAUCUAGACAGGUGCUUCCUGUCUGGACUUUGACGUAAAAUUAAACACAUGUCCAGAUGUGAAGUAUGUGUGUCCAUGAAAGUGUGUGUGCAUGUGUGUGCAUGUCUAAGACAGAAAAAACGGUUUCUGUUUCUGUGCACGACCUGGUCAUUUUACCACAGUUGAAAGAAGAAGGAAUGUAAAGAAAUAAAGUAAGACAGACAGACAGAAGAAGAGAGAGGGUAAUAAAGAGUGUGGCCAUGAAAGAGAAUUUGCGACAAAUGCAAUCCCAUGAUUGAACAAGUUAACUUUCAGUGAACCUAUUACCCCUAUAACUUAAGCAAUGCACAGAGAAAUUAAAUAUGUCUACUUGGUGUAUGCACCCCUCUCUUUAUUUACAUGUGUUUUGCUCCUUGAAAAAAUACAAAAAGUUAGCCUACACAUCCACAUAGAAUACUGACAUUGUGAAUGAAACCGUGUAAAUCAUUGUAGCUUUCCACAACAUACAUCCAUACAGUAUUUGUGCCUGUGUAUCUAUCAUGUACAAAUGUUCAUUCAAUUUUAUU
Molecule: long non-coding RNA, 1083 nt
Organism: Perca flavescens (yellow perch)
Lineage: Eukaryota; Metazoa; Chordata; Actinopteri; Perciformes; Percidae
Exons: 3
Source: RefSeq, a predicted model, not a curated record